RNAcentral lists this ribosomal RNA (253 nucleotides) under uncultured bacterium. Its description in RNAcentral is "partial 16S ribosomal RNA". It matches the Rfam family "Bacterial small subunit ribosomal RNA", at positions 524 to 776 of the family's 1533-position model. The record is from RNAcentral.
UACAGAGGUCUCAAGCGUUGUUCGGAUUCAUUGGGCGUAAAGGGCGCGUAGGCUGCGGGGCAAGUCGGGUGUGAAAUCUCAGAGCUCAACUCUGAAACUGCACUCGAUACUGCUUUGCUUGAGGACUGGAGAGGAGAUUGGAAUUCCCGGUGUAGCGGUGAAAUGCGUAGAGAUCGGGAGGAACACCAGUGGCGAAGGCGGCUACCUGGACCAGCACUGACACUGAGGCACGAAAGCGUGGGGAGCAAACAGG